RNAcentral lists this ribosomal RNA (424 nucleotides) under uncultured bacterium. Its description in RNAcentral is "bacterial SSU rRNA". It matches the Rfam family "Bacterial small subunit ribosomal RNA", at positions 355 to 796 of the family's 1533-position model. The record is from RNAcentral.
UAACGAAUCUUCCGCAAUGCACGAAAGUGUGACGGAGCGACGCCGCGUGGAGGACGAAGCCCUUCGGGGUGUAAACUCCUGUCAGGGGUUACCAAGUUCUGAGGAGCCCCAGAGGAAGGCACGGCUAACUCUGUGCCAGCAGCCGCGGUAAGACAGAGGUGCCGAGCGUUAGGCGGAAUCACUGGGCUUAAAGCGUGUGUAGGCGGGUCGUUAAGUACCUUGUGAAAUCCCCCGGCUUAACCGGGGAACUGCUGGGUAUACUGGCGACCUUGAGCAAUCCAGGGGCGAGCGGAACAAGCGGUGGAGCGGUGAAAUGCGUAGAUAUCGCUUGGAACGCCGACGGUGAAAACAGCUCGCUGGGGAUUCGCUGACGCUGAGACACGAAAGCCAGGGGAGCAAACGGGAUUAGAUACCCCCGUAGUCC